Notolabrus celidotus (New Zealand spotty) is the source of this 298-nucleotide long non-coding RNA. RefSeq lists it as uncharacterized. The record is from RefSeq and is a predicted model, not a curated record. Lineage: Eukaryota; Metazoa; Chordata; Actinopteri; Labriformes; Labridae. The transcript is spliced from 2 exons.
UAUAAGUUAAUAUAAGAAGAGUUAAAAGGUUAAAAUGCAAUAAACAAUCACGUUUUUAAGUGGAACUAAAGUUCCAGGUUUUUGGUUCCGCUACGACAGAGUUUAGAGACGGACUGCAUGCAAGGCAGAUGCUCGUUUACUCCCAUGCUUUGCAGUCAUGCACAUGAAGAGCCAAAGGAACUGCAAGAGACACACAUAAGGCCCAAGAACCUCUUCUUGCGACAAGCGGCCAACGAGUUCUCACGGCGUCUUGGUGCUCCACAAGACUGCUCCAACAUUAAACGCCCGUUUCAAAGAA